CCAAAUAGGGAGGAAAAGAAACCAACAGGGAUUGCCUCAGUAACGGCGAGUGAAGCGGCAAAAGCUCAAAUUUGAAAUCCCCCGGGAAUUGUAAUUUGAAGAGAUUUGGGUCCGGCCGGCGGGGGUUAAGUCCACUGGAAAGUGGCGCCACAGAGGGUGACAGCCCCGUGAACCCCUUUAAAGCCCUCAUCCCAGAUCUCCAAGAGUCGAGUUGUUUGGGAAUGCAGCUCUAAGUGGGUGGUAAAUUCCAUCUAAAGCUAAAUACCGGCGAGAGACCGAUAGCGAACAAGUACAGUGAUGGAAAGAUGAAAAGCACUUUGAAAAGAGAGUGAAAAAGUACGUGAAAUUGUUGAAAGGGAAGGGCUUGCAAGCAGACACUUAACUGGGCCAGCAUCGGGGCGGCGGGGAGCAAAACCACCGGGGAAUGUACCUUUCGAGGAUUAUAACCCCGGCCCUUACUCCCNCACCANCCCGAGGCCUGCAAUCUAAGGAUGCUGGCGUAAUGGUUGCAAGUCGCCCGCUAAAAACCGCGGG
This 534-nucleotide ribosomal RNA is filed under the name Metschnikowia sp. 11-578. Its description in RNAcentral is "partial large subunit ribosomal RNA". It matches the Rfam family "Eukaryotic large subunit ribosomal RNA", at positions 44 to 664 of the family's 3401-position model. Lineage: Eukaryota; Fungi; Ascomycota; Pichiomycetes; Serinales; Metschnikowiaceae. The record is from RNAcentral.